This 443-nucleotide ribosomal RNA is filed under the name uncultured delta proteobacterium. RNAcentral's name for it is "bacterial SSU rRNA". It matches the Rfam family "Bacterial small subunit ribosomal RNA", at positions 100 to 523 of the family's 1533-position model. The record is from RNAcentral. Lineage: Bacteria; Deltaproteobacteria.
GCACGGGUGAGUAACGCGUAGGCAACCUACCUCGGACCGGGAUAACAGAGCGAAAGUUCUGCUAAUACCGGAUACGACCAAGAUGCGGGAGCAUUUUGGUGAAAGUCGGCCUCUCUAUAGAAGCUGAUGUUCGAGGAUGGGCCUGCGUCCUAUCAGCUAGUUGGUAGGGUAACGGCCUACCAAGGCGACGACGGGUAGCUGGUCUGAGAGGAUGAUCAGCCACACUGGCACUGAAACACGGGCCAGACUCCUACGGGAGGCAGCAGUGAGGAAUUUUGCGCAAUGGGAGCAAUCCUGACGCAGCAACGCCGCGUGGGUGAAGAAGGCCUUCGGGUCGUAAAGCCCUGUCAGGUGGGAAGAAAUGUCUUGAGGCGAAUAGCCUUUGGAUUUGACGGUACCACCAGAGGAAGCACCGGCUAACUCCGUGCCAGCAGCCGCGGUAA